GGACAUGUGGACAGUAUGGGAGUGAGAAUGUUGGCAUGAGUAGCGAGAUGUGGGUGAGAAUCCCACAGGCCGUAAACCCAAGGUUUCCAGGGGAAGGUUCGUCCGCCCUGGGUUAGUCGGGACCUAAGCUGAGGCCGAAAGGCGUAGGUGAUGGACAACAGGUUGAUAUUCCUGUACUACCGAUAACCGUUUGAGAGAAGGGAUGACACAGUAGGAUAAGCUAAGCACACUGUUGGUUAUGUGUGCC
This 247-nucleotide ribosomal RNA is filed under the name Clostridioides difficile. Its description in RNAcentral is "partial 23S ribosomal RNA". It matches the Rfam family "Bacterial large subunit ribosomal RNA", at positions 1267 to 1512 of the family's 2925-position model. Lineage: Bacteria; Bacillati; Bacillota; Clostridia; Peptostreptococcales; Peptostreptococcaceae. The record is from RNAcentral.